RNAcentral lists this long non-coding RNA (1221 nucleotides) under Sus scrofa (pig). RNAcentral's name for it is "lncRNA (ENSSSCG00070003587.1)". The record is from RNAcentral. Lineage: Eukaryota; Metazoa; Chordata; Mammalia; Artiodactyla; Suidae.
AUGAGCGCCCGCGGCGGGGGCUGCGAGGGGCUGAUUUCCAGGCCCCACGGAGGCAAAACGCAAACCCAACGCCCCUUCUGCUGCAAGUGGCGGCUGGUGUCGGGUUGGGGGAGAGCCUCCGUGGACAGCAGGCCGUCCGAGGGGCUGGGGCGGAGGAGCGGGCCGAGGGCCGGGGGGUGUGCUCGUGGGAGGCCAGCGGGACAGGCCACCGCUGGGGCCAGGUCACCCCCGGCCUGCCGAUCCGCCGUUCUGGAGGAGGGUGCCGGCCCCUGCCGCUCCUCCCACGUGGCCCCUCGGUCCAGGCCAGGAAAUCUUCCAGAUUCUACAGCCAGACAGGCGCUCUCCUCUCCAGGUGCCCAAGACCCGUCCUUGGGCCGGGCACCCCAAUGCCCAGACUGCAGCCCCUCCCCUCAACAGCUGUCCCCAGAGUCACGCCAUCUCCCACUCCUGUGCCCCACUGCCAACACCUUCUGGGGCUGCACGUGGGGCCCACAAACUCUAAAGGGCUGUGGGCACAGUGCUAAGAGCGAUGGCAGCAGCACCGACCUGGUGGGCGACUGCAGCCUGGGGCGGGGGGAGCCCCUCUCAGAGGCCUGCUCCCACCUCCACCGCAGCCCCCGCCACCUGCUUCCUCACCAGGUCGCCGCCCUGCCGCAGCACACAGUAGGUGCACACGGGGUGUUUGCAGGCUUCGCGGACAACGGGAUGAGGCAGGGAACCCGGCCUGUGGGUGCUACUGUGGCUCCCCGACCCCCGGCGGCUGCGUCCGUGCUCUGGCACCCCCGAAUCCCUACGCCGGGCCCGAGCGGACACUUGAGGGGCCAGACACAGACCCACCUGCGCCCAGAGGCCGGGCUGCCCCAGCGAGGACUGCAACGUCAAGGCUGCUCCCGAGGACAGCGGAGCCCCUGCCUGUGCGGCCAGGCCCUGCACCUGCAUCGAGAAACAGGCCCCUGGAGGGGAGCCCCCUGCCCUGCCCGCAGGGUCGCGCUCCCCCACCUCGGCCCUGCAGGCAUUCUGAGCAUCACCCACUCACGCAUCCACUCCGUCCCCAGGAGCGGAGCUGGCUCUAUGGGGACGUGCUGGGGUCACCCCAGGAGACACACUGAUUAUUAUCUAACCCGAGCCUGGGGAGGGCCGGGGGCGCAGGUGCAGAGCCCAGGCUGGGAGGGCGGGGCGGGGGAGGAGGGUCCGGGGAUGCCCCGCUCCCGGCUCAGGUGA